GGCUAGACAGAGUGCAGUGGUGUUUAUACCUGAUUGAUCAUGGGCAAUUACAGAUUUCUUUGUUCCUUCUCCCCUCCCACUGCAUCCCCUGGUUAGCCUUUC
Molecule: unclassified non-coding RNA, 102 nt
Organism: Otolemur garnettii (small-eared galago)
Lineage: Eukaryota; Metazoa; Chordata; Mammalia; Primates; Galagidae
Rfam family: Y RNA
About the family: Y RNAs are components of the Ro ribonucleoprotein particle (Ro RNP), in association with Ro60 and La proteins. The Y RNAs and Ro60 and La proteins are well conserved, but the function of the Ro RNP is not known.
Source: Ensembl